UACAGAGACUGCAAGCGUUAUUCGGAUUCACUGGGCGUAAAGGGUGCGCAGGCGGCCAAGUGUGUUAGGCGUGAAAGCCCGGGGCUUAACCCCGGAAUUGCACCUAAAACUACAUGGCUAGAGCAUUGGAGAGGGUAGCAGAAUUCAUGGUGUAGCAGUGAAAUGCGUAGAUAUCAUGAGGAAUACCAGAGGCGAAGGCGGCUACCUGGACAAAUUGCUGACGCUCAGGCACGAAAGCGUGGGGGAGCAAAAAGGG
Molecule: ribosomal RNA, 256 nt
Filed under: uncultured bacterium
Lineage: Bacteria
Description: partial 16S ribosomal RNA
Rfam family: Bacterial small subunit ribosomal RNA
Source: RNAcentral